This 343-nucleotide ribosomal RNA is filed under the name uncultured Bacillariaceae. RNAcentral describes it as "eukaryotic LSU rRNA". It matches the Rfam family "Eukaryotic large subunit ribosomal RNA", at positions 271 to 667 of the family's 3401-position model. The record is from RNAcentral. Lineage: Eukaryota; Bacillariophyta; Bacillariophyceae; Bacillariales; Bacillariaceae.
UGUUUGGGAAUGCAGCUCAAAGUGGGUGGUAAAUUCCAUCUAAAGCUAAAUAUUGGUGGGAGACCGAUAGCGCACAAGUACCGUGAGGGAAAGAUGCAAAGAACUUUGAAAAGAGAGUUAAAGAGUACCUGAAAUUGCUGAAAGGGAAGCGAAGGAAACCAGUGCCGGCAAUGUCAUACUUCCCUGGCCGCUUGCGGCUUGGGCGCUGUGGCAUGCCACCGCUGCGUUUGAUUGAACUGCGUGGAAGAGCAACAGAGCCUCCUUCGGGAUACCCUGCUGCUGUCGCGUGGUUUGAUCGAGCGGAGCGAAAUGGUUUUCUUUACCCCGUCUUGAAACACGGACC